Molecule: long non-coding RNA, 613 nt
Filed under: Struthio camelus australis
Lineage: Eukaryota; Metazoa; Chordata; Aves; Struthioniformes; Struthionidae
Description: lncRNA (ENSSCUG00000007373.1)
Source: RNAcentral
CUUAGCAGCUAUUUAUGCUUGGUGUACUUACGUGAUCUUUGAAAAAAAAAACCAGCAUGAACUGAGAAAACUUUAUGACCUUUCAUUCAAAAUGAUAAUAUGCUUUUCUGUAUUCUAAUGUUCAAACAUUCAUGCGAGAGAGAAGGGGAAGGAAGAAAACAAGUGGAAGAAAUGUUCCUCUGAAAGUUAACUUUUUAAUUGGUCACUACACGUAGAAGAAGUGAAAGUCAUGACUGACCUUCUCUUAUUCACCACUUUUAUCUUGAUAGCAUUUGAAGUGAAAAUAACUGACCUGCACCUUCCCCAAGAACUGCCAACACAGUGAAUUACUGGAUUACUUUUGGGUCCAUACUGAAGCAACUAGGGGAAAAAAGAGCUCUUAACCUCCCUCCUAAGAGCAGGAAUUGGAGAACAUAAGUGAAGACUGAAAUUUUUGCCAAGGAUCACAGAUGACUGUCUUUUAUGAGGGAAUGACUGACUGACGAGUAACUACUCCCUUCUUUAGAAAGUUGCUGAGGGAGAGUAAAGUUAUAUGGCAGUGACAAAGAAAUACAUCACAGUAUGGAUAAGGGCCUCUGUAUCUUCAGAUGUUUAUUUACCACUUCCAGCCAUG